UACGGAGGGAGCGAGCGUUGUCCGAAGUUACUGGGCGUAAAGAGCGUGUAGGCGGCUUGGUAAGUCCGCUGUGAAAGUCCAGGGCUCAACCCUGGAAUGCCGGUGGAAACUGUCAAGCUUGAGUCCGGAAGAGGCGAGUGGAAUUCCUGGUGUAGCGGUGAAAUGCGCAGAUAUCAGGAGGAACACCAAUGGCGAAGGCAGCUCGCUGGGACGGUACUGAGGCUGAGACGCGAAAGCGUGGGGAGCAAACAGG
RNAcentral lists this ribosomal RNA (253 nucleotides) under uncultured bacterium. RNAcentral describes it as "partial 16S ribosomal RNA". It matches the Rfam family "Bacterial small subunit ribosomal RNA", at positions 524 to 776 of the family's 1533-position model. The record is from RNAcentral.